CUCACUAAAUCUAUGUAACUAAAAUUCUUCAAUGGCUAAACACCAUUCACGACACAAAAAUCCCAGAAUAUUAAAGAUGAACUAAAUUUCUCUCUCCUAUAAUUGUUUUUUUAUUCAAAUUAAUCCCAUGAUUUAUUACAAAUAAAAACCAAUAAAUGAAACAAAAUUGUUGUUAUUUAAUCAAUUGGUGGGGUCCUUCACAAUACCAAACAAAAAGUUACAACCAUUACCAGGUCACUGAUCCUAGCCGUUCAAAUAAAAAACUAUUAAAUUAAUGGCUGUGAUUUAACUUUCUCAUAGGAAGGAAUUUCCCUUUCCCAUGCUAAACUCCACCCCAAAUCUAUCAUACAUAGACUUAUUGUGGCCAACUAGAUCACCUUCAUUGUGGAAAACGAUUGCUUUUAUCAAAUUAUUAGUUUUGUUCAAUACAAAUCAACGAAGAUAUAUCAGAUAUUUGAUUCUCUUUAAGCAUUUGGUCAAAGUUUCAAUCUCUAGUCUGUAUGCUAGCAAAUGUUAACUCGUUGAAUGAAUCCUAGUUGAUUUGAUAGAUUAAUCUUCGUGGUUACGCGCGUAUAUGCCUUUUUGAUAGGAUACCUUGACUUAUUAUCAAAAUAGUCGAGUUUUAUCAACUUCAUCUUAAAAUACACCCUUUCAACAAAAAAAAAAACAUAUUUAUCAAAAGGUGAUGAUGAAAUGAAAAUAAUCAAAUUGAUCUUUAUGUAGAAGUUUUUCUUUGAGGCCUAUAAAAAAAAAAGGCUAAAAACUAUGCUCUUUAGGCAACUAUGAUCAUUUUUCAGAAUUAGUAAAUGGAAGAGGAUUCAUAUUACCCUUUCAUUUGAUGGAUGUGCAGAGUAGGGUUUGAAAUGUUGGUGUUUUGAAUCUAUACGAUAAAUUUUCCUCUGUGUGUUUUUUUU
RNAcentral lists this long non-coding RNA (914 nucleotides) under Medicago truncatula (barrel medic). RNAcentral describes it as "long non-coding RNA (MTRU_LNC008852)". The record is from RNAcentral. Lineage: Eukaryota; Viridiplantae; Streptophyta; Magnoliopsida; Fabales; Fabaceae.